This 1363-nucleotide ribosomal RNA is filed under the name unidentified marine bacterioplankton. RNAcentral describes it as "bacterial SSU rRNA". It matches the Rfam family "Bacterial small subunit ribosomal RNA", at positions 9 to 1371 of the family's 1533-position model. The record is from RNAcentral.
GAGUUUGAUCAUGGCUCAGAUUGAACGCUGGCGGCAUGCCUUACACAUGCAAGUCGAACGGCAGCACGGGUGCUUGCACCUGGUGGCGAGUGGCGAACGGGUGAGUAAUACAUCGGAACAUGUCCUGUAGUGGGGGAUAGCCCGGCGAAAGCCGGAUUAAUACCGCAUACGAUCUACGGAUGAAAGCGGGGGACCUUCGGGCCUCGCGCUAUAGGGUUGGCCGAUGGCUGAUUAGCUAGUUGGUGGGGUAAAGGCCUACCAAGGCGACGAUCAGUAGCUGGUCUGAGAGGACGACCAGCCACACUGGGACUGAGACACGGCCCAGACUCCUACGGGAGGCAGCAGUGGGGAAUUUUGGACAAUGGGCGAAAGCCUGAUCCAGCAAUGCCGCGUGUGUGAAGAAGGCCUUCGGGUUGUAAAGCACUUUUGUCCGGAAAGAAAUCCUUGGCUCUAAUACAGUCGGGGGAUGACGGUACCGGAAGAAUAAGCACCGGCUAACUACGUGCCAGCAGCCGCGGUAAUACGUAGGGUGCGAGCGUUAAUCGGAAUUACUGGGCGUAAAGCGUGCGCAGGCGGUUUGCUAAGACCGAUGUGAAAUCCCCGGGCUCAACCUGGGAACUGCAUUGGUGACUGGCAGGCUAGAGUAUGGCAGAGGGGGGUAGAACUCCACGUGUAGCAGUGAAAUGCGUAGAGAUGUGGAGGAAUACCGAUGGCGAAGGCAGCCCCCUGGGCCAAUACUGACGCUCAUGCACGAAAGCGUGGGGAGCAAACAGGAUUAGAUACCCUGGUAGUCCACGCCCUAAACGAUGUCAACUAGUUGUUGGGGAUUCAUUUCCUUAGUAACGUAGCUAACGCGUGAAGUUGACCGCCUGGGGAGUACGGUCGCAAGAUUAAAACUCAAAGGAAUUGACGGGGACCCGCACAAGCGGUGGAUGAUGUGGAUUAAUUCGAUGCAACGCGAAAAACCUUACCUACCCUUGACAUGGUCGGAAUCCCGCUGAGAGGUGGGAGUGCUCGAAAGAGAACCGGCGCACAGGUGCUGCAUGGCUGUCGUCAGCUCGUGUCGUGAGAUGUUGGGUUAAGUCCCGCAACGAGCGCAACCCUUGUCCUUAGUUGCUACGCAAGAGCACUCUAAGGAGACUGCCGGUGACAAACCGGAGGAAGGUGGGGAUGACGUCAAGUCCUCAUGGCCCUUAUGGGUAGGGCUUCACACGUCAUACAAUGGUCGGAACAGAGGGUUGCCAACCCGCGAGGGGGAGCUAAUCCCAGAAAACCGAUCGUAGUCCGGAUUGCACUCUGCAACCCGAGUGCAUGAAGCUGGAAUCGCUAGUAAUCGCGGAUCAGCAUGCCGCGGUGAAUACGU